RNAcentral lists this ribosomal RNA (119 nucleotides) under uncultured bacterium. RNAcentral describes it as "partial 16S ribosomal RNA". It matches the Rfam family "Bacterial small subunit ribosomal RNA", at positions 1383 to 1500 of the family's 1533-position model. The record is from RNAcentral.
GUACACACCGCCCGUCACACCAUGGGAGCCGGAAAUGCCCGAAGUCAGUGACCCAACCAAUAAGGAGGGAGCUGCCGAAGGCAGGUCUGGUGACUGGGGUGAAGUCGUAACAAGGUACC